Molecule: long non-coding RNA, 611 nt
Filed under: Homo sapiens (human)
Lineage: Eukaryota; Metazoa; Chordata; Mammalia; Primates; Hominidae
Description: non-protein coding lnc-RAB27B-11:5
Source: RNAcentral
ACUAGUACUAUAGUUAAGCUGGAAUCCAACUCCUGAAUUUCUGGAGCCCUGAAGACCACUUAGUCUUACUCACAAGUAUAGAAUUGAAUGGAAUGUGAAUCUACACUCAGGUGAAGCCAGGGUAUUUUGAACGUCCCUACAAGACUGAAGCACCACUGGGAAAUAAGUAAUAGAGAUGCCAUCAUUGUGGAGGUCAUAAUGCUUGUCCUGAACACGAGGGGUCUCUAGUGGAGGCACCAAUUCAGCUCCUCUUCUGUGGAGAGACUACAUGGGUGCUGAAGAAACAAAGACACAACGCAGCUCCUCUCAAAGGAGUUCAGAGCUUAGCAGGGGAGACAGAACCAUGAAUGCAUAGUUACGCAUCAAUGUGCUGCACGAGCACUGAAGCCCAAGCACAAGCGGCCUGAGUCCCAGUGAGUCUAACCCCUCCCCAUCCUGCCCUCCCACACCACAACCCAAUCAGAUGGGGUCUUGCUACAUUGCCUAAGCUGGUCUUGAACUCCUGGACUCAAGCAAUCCUCCUGUCUUGACCUCCCAAACUGUUAGGAUUACAGGCGUGAGCCACUGUGGGUGAUGCUGUACUUAAUUUUGUCACACUUGGAGAUCAUCCC